This 8960-nucleotide transfer RNA is filed under the name Cordylochernes scorpioides. The record is from RNAcentral. Lineage: Eukaryota; Metazoa; Arthropoda; Arachnida; Pseudoscorpiones; Chernetidae.
UUUAAACUGACUAAUAAUACUUAUAAAUGACUGCGGCGUAUAAUUAUAAAGCUAUACAACCAGUUUAACCGCAUAAGUUUCUUUUUAUUUAUGAAAAAUCAUUUUUAAUUUCAAAGAGAAAUAAUUUAAUAUUUCUAACUUUUGGAUGACUUAUGAAAAGGUUGAAUAUAUGAAGAGUGAUGGUCUAUAUAUGAAUGGAUGACGUAUGGAGGGUGAAAAAUAUGAAGAGUAAUGGCGAACGGAAAAAUAAAAGUGUCCAGGAGCGGAAUCGAACCCACAACCUUCUGCUUACCGUGUCCACUAGGCUAUCCUGGACGAUAUUUCUCCGUUCGUAACUAAUAUUUAAACUGACUAAUAAUACUUAUAAAUGACUGCGGCGUAUAAUUAUAAAGCUAUACAACCAGUUUAACCGCAUAAGUUUCUUUUUAUUCUAUGAAAAAUCAUUUUUAAUUUCAAAGAGAAAUAAUUUAAUAUUUCUAACUUUUGGAUGACUUAUGAAAAGGUUGAAUAUAUGAAGAGUGAUGGUCUAUAUAUGAAUGGAUGACGUAUGGAGGGUGAAAAAUAUGAAGAGCAAUGGCGAACGGAAAAAUAAAAGUGUCCAGGAGCGGGAAUCGAACCCACAACCUUCUGCUUACCGAGCAGGUGCCAUGUCCACUAGGCUAUCCUGGUAAGCAGAAGGUUGUGGGUUCGAUUCCCGCUCCUGGACACUUUUAUUUUUCCGUUCGCCAUUACUCUUCAUAUUUUUCACCCUCCAUACGUCAUCCAUUCAUAUAUAGACCAUCACUCUUCAUAUAUUCAACCUUUUCAUACGUCAUCCAAAAGUUAGAAAUAUUAAAUUAUUUCUCUUUGAAAUUAAAAAUGAUUUUUCAUAAAUAAAAAGAAACGUAUGCGGUUAAACUGGUUGUAUAGCUUUAUAAUUAUACGCCGCAGUCAUUUAUAAGUAUUAUAAAAUAAUUUGUUAAAACGUUAAGAAAAUAAAUAUUACCUGGCCGUAGUGUGUAUUUUUCAAAGAACAAUGAAUGCUGGCCAGGCAACCUCUAUCUUCAAGAUUAUAUAUAUAAAGUCCAACCACCAGUAAGUGCAAGUAACCAAACGGCCUCUGGUACAUUUGUAAGCGCAAAAUCAAACUGAUUUUCACAUAUGUAGAUAUGUUAUGCACUUACAGUAAAAGCAGUCGCCUACUUCUACCUAUUUCUAGCCACAAUGAUUAGCCUGGCCAUACCACGUAUACUAAGGAUAAAAUAAGAUGAUAUCACCAUUUAAUAAAAACAAUUAGUUAUUUAAUUUUACUCUGUGGAGUGUGGAUUUAUUAGUCCAGCGAUGGCCAAGAAAGUAUUUCAAAGUUAGUGUUUUAUUGGUAUUUCCUAUUAGCUACAUUUUAUCUGGAAGACAAAAAGGACAACACCCAAGAAUGUCUAUUGGGAUCUCAUUGACUUCCGCCGAUCUGCCACACAGCGGUGAUCAUCUCCAAUUUCAUGUCCCCGCUUGUAUGUUUGCCGUGGUCUGUCAUCCCAGCAGGCUGGAAGGAAGUCUCUUGGCUCCCACAACUCCUUUUUUCUCACCAUCGAGAAGGUGAAAAAGAUGGAGUGGUGGAACCGUCUGCUGACUACUGACUCCGAGAUCAACACCAAAAAGGUCCAGCCAGAGAACUCCAAGCUGACUGAUCUGGAUGGGGAGACCCACUCCAUGGUAGAGAAAAUGCUCUAUGACCAGAGACAGAAGGAGAUGGGUCUGCCCACUUCUGAUGAGCAGAAGAAGAGAGAUGUGCUCAAGAAGUUCAUGGAACAGCAUCCAGAGAUUGACUUCACCAAUUGUAAAUUUGCCUAGAGAUCUGGCACCACCUCACCUUAGAACACAUCACCAUUUUUAUAUGUAUACAUGUUUAUGUAUGUAUGCAUAAUGGCAUGAAUAAAUACCCCAUGGAAAUAUUUUGAAAAAAAAAACUAAUUUUUUAUCUCCUUUCUAUAACCGUUAUAGAGUACUAUCUCUUCCUUACUAUGAUGCAUUAGCGCGUCAUCUGCUAUAAGAAAUAUAAACUAUUAUUGAGUCCAAGGAUUCUUGUUGAAUUAAAACAAUUUUACAUUUACCUAUUUAAAAAAAGAAUCCUGAGCGUCAAAAAUAGUUCGGAUAUCACAUAACAGAUGGCGCGCUGAUAUAGAAUUGGUUUAUAUUAUAUUGAAGAUAGAGAUUGCCAGGCUGGUAUUCAGAGUUCUUCAAUAUCUAAGACACUUUGGUCAGAAAUUUGUUUAUUUUCUCGACGUUCUGACAAAAUUCUUUAUAUGUUCGUCAGGAAAAAUAAUAAAAAAAUAUAUGAAUAGCGCUUUAAAAAAAUAUCGAAAUUUUAAAAUAAUGUACCUGUAAUAUUUUUCUUGAAGAGGACAAACUCUGUCUAAAAUGUUUAAACAAAUUUUUCGGUUUUAAAACAUUGAAUAGGAUGGAAUAAUCUUUCCUAUCAGAUACAAUGUACUAUAGAAUCUAUGGACGGUUCAUGAAAAGGUCCUCCUUGCUUCGAUAAUAUUCUAAUUAAAAGAUAAAUAUAAUUAGUAAUAAGAAAAAAAAUUAAUAAAUGUUCUUUAUCUCCUGUCUCACCAUACCUCAUUAGAUUCCCUUCCAGCUGUGUGAACUCACGAUGCAGUCAAAGUAACUUCCAAAUUUAUUGGAAGUCUUAAAUCUAUCUGGCACACUGAAGUAAAGUCACGAUGGCCCAUUAAAAAAUAGCAACAAGAGUUUUUUAGCGCAGGAAAUGGCGGCCGAAUGGGCAGGCGGAGUCAGUUCUGUGGAUGACGGAUGGAGGGGUUAGAUUAAUGUUCGCCAAUUUUUAUUGAUUUGAGAGAGAGAGGGUAUGUGAAAGCUUUAAAUUGCCAUUUAAAUGACGCUUGCUGAUGUAUUAGCCCCACCUGCAGCAUUGACUCUCACUCCACAUUUAAUAUACAACUCUUUUGAAUCAUCUGGUCUUGAUUGAGCAUAGAUAGGUAUUAGAUAUAGAAGAUUCUUCUCGGUAAGAAAUGUAGCGAUUUGAUAAAAUGAAAGGAGACAAGUUUCUUUAAUCAUUUAUCGACGCAAGCUUUCGGGCAAAAACCUUUCAACAGGUAAGCUAAAGCAUAAAUACAACACUAUGAACGUGUUUAUGCUUUAGCUUGCCUGUUGAAGGGUUUUUGCCCGAAAGCUUGCGUCGUUAAAUGAUUAAAGAAACUUGUCUUCUUUCAUUUUAUUAAAUCGCUACAUAGAUAGGUAUAAAAUUUUACACAAAUAAAUUUACUGUAAAAUUUAAGGUCUGUAGAGAUUUAAAAAAGAAACGCAUUGCCAGUAAAUUUAUUUGUGUAAAAUUUUAACGAUAGAGGGCAAUAAAAUUUAAUUUACUAAUAGAUAGGUAUGUAUAACUUUAUUUAUGAAUAUAUUUAUUAAAAUCAAAAAUGGCAUAUUCCGACUACGUUCACAUUUUUAGAUGGCAGUGCGCCAUCUAGUGGAACAGAAAUAAACUAAACGUUGAUUCAGCUUGUUCCCUGAUAUUUGGCCAACCGUUACACUAGAUGGCACUCUGUCAUAUAAAAAUUCAUGUGAACUUGGUCAGGAUAUGCCUUUUUGGUUUUAAUAACAAAUACCUGACCUUUUUUAUUAUUUUAUGUUUGUUAUUUUUUGACAGAAUAAAUUUAUCUUGAGAAAGUGUUACUGUUUAUAUAACGCUAUAUACGAGGGUGAGUAGAAAAGUAAGGUCUCCUAUUUUUUUUUCAUAGAAAAACACAUUUAAUCACAACUUUUUAUACAUCAUUGGAAAAGAAAACAUUCAAAGACAAAGAGGAUGAGUAUCUUUUUAUGAACAAGCGUUCGAGCUUUCGAGCACAAAUUCCUGUUGAAGGGCGACUUUGUGCUCGAAAGCUCGAACGCUUGUUCAUAAAAAGAUACUCAUCCUCUUUGUCUUUGAAUGUUUUCUUUACCAAGUUACUCCAGAGGAUUUUACCUUGUUUAAACAUCAUUGGAAAGGUUGGACACUUUGCUAUUUUUCUACAUAGUCGCCUUGAUGCUCAAUCACUUUUUUCAUCCUGUCAACCAACUUUGUAAUUCCGGUGUUGUACCACUCUCCCGCCGCCUCUUUGAGCCAAUUGUUAUACGCUUUUUAAAUGCGAAAAAUAAUUCUCCGGUCGAAAUUCACCGUCAGUUAGUGGAAGUGUAUGGUGAGAAGUGCAUGGACAUCAAAAAUGUGCGGAAAUGGUGCCGGGAGUUUAACGAGGGGCGGAUAAACGUCCACGAUGAACAGCGGUCUGGGCGGCCGAGUUUGCCGGAAUCAACCGUGGCUCGAAUCGACGAAAUGGUGCGCGCAAACCGGCGGAUAACCCUUGAAGAGAUCGAGGAUGGCCUGAUGAAGAUUGCAGCCACUUCUCCGUGCACAAGAUUGUGUCUGAGACCCUCGGCUACAGAAAGGUGUCCGCCAGGUGGGUCGACAAGUGGCUCAAAGAGGCGGUGGGAGAGUGGUACAACACCGGAAUUACAAAGUUGGUUGACAGGAUGAAAAAAGUGAUUGAGCAUCAAGGCGACUAUGUAAAAAAUAGCAAAGUGUCCAACCUUUCCAAUGAUGUAUAAAAAGUUGUGAUUAAAUGUGUUUUUCUAUGAAAAAAAAUAGGAGACCUUACUUUUCUACUCACCCUCGUAGAAAGUGUGAAAUCUUGUUACAUGAAUAUCUCUGAAACUUCUGUUUUCUCCAGACAUGGUUCCUUCAAGGUAUAUUAAGGUGUCUUAGAUUAGGCUCGUAAUGACCCCGCCCAACUCUCAUCAAAUGUACAACUUGCUUAGCGAUAGAAUUAUUUAAUUUUCACAAAGCAUAGUUAUGUUGAAUACUUUGAUUUCCUUUUCAUUUUCCCUUCUCUCCUUUGUUUAUGUUUUUUUCCCUUUUCUCCAUGAAAAUGAUGUAUGGCGAGUCCUUACAGGACGGAAAUGUCCUAAUAAAGUAGUUGAUGUUGUUGAUGUACAACUUGAUGAAUACUGCGCUGGAUGACCGAAGUUUUACUUUUGAAUAUUUUAUAUUUUUAUCUUUAUAAGAGAUAUCCAGACAACAUCUUGAAGAAGGAAUAAAAGUUUACGGCGACGUGUUUCUUUAUUUUUGUAUUCAAAUUACAAGAAAAUAAAUCGCCAGAUAUUCAUCGUCAUAAACAUUUAUUCCUUCUUAAAGAUUUUUAUCGUUUUUGAAAUUGCAGAAAAUUAUGUAAAAUAUUUGAUAAACUACUUAAAAUGAGAAAUAAGGAGGGAGAUCAGUAACAAGCUCGUUAAAAAACCUGGGCUCAGCUGGCCCAACUGAUAGUACCCUGUAAGGGCUCAUAAUCCAGUACAUGAUGAGUCUGUACUCCAUGUUAGGAGAGGCUGUACAUAGCUUCUAUUCCUCAUGUCAGAAGCGGCCAUUUCAUAUUGGAGCUAAGUCGGCCUGCUACUGAGUAGUGGCACACAUAUUAUACUUUACCCAGUCAUGAUGGCUGUCGCUUGAUACCCUGAUAUGAUUAACUGUAGAUAAGAAAAAAAUAGAGGAAGCUAUAAAAGAAAAGCAGAGAAGUAAUAUACUAAUAUUUAACAAUUUUAAAAUAUAAUUACACAAAAAGAGCUAAACUCGAUGUCUUCUUCUUCUUCUUUCUUAUUUCCACUCAAUCACACUAAGGUAUCAAGCUUGUAAAGCUUGAGAUUUUUGAUGGUGUCUGCCGGGGAAGAGUAGAGCGCAUCAAUGGAUGAGUCAAUACAGUCAAUAAUAUGUCUUGGGGUUGCAGGCUGAGAAUUGCACUUAGUACAUAGUGGGAAAACCCUGCAACCAUAAUCUUAUGUGAAGACCUUUAUUGGAGAUAUUUACACUCAUGGACAAAACUAUCAGUAUAAAAGUGAAACAUCAAAAUACAACAAUAGAACUGUAUGGUAGAUUAUACUGGCGAUACCGCUGGCAGGCCAUCCCAUUAUUUUUAUCAUUGCAGUAAGGACAGUAGAAUAUUGUUUAUAUAAAAAGGAUCAUACGCCUCAAAAAUCGUUCAAAUUGAUUAUAUAUUAUCUCUAUACAGUAGAACUACCUCUCUGUAAAGGACAACAUCUAAUUGCAGAGUCAAAGUGUCCUUUAGGGAGAGGUGGCCUCUUACCGGAGAGUUGUUAUAUAGCAAAAAAAAAGAGAUAAUUUUGUGAAUAAAAACUGUUCUUUAUAGAGGAGUGUCCUCUAGUGUGAGCUUCCUCUCAUGGAGGUUCUACUGAAUAUCAAUUUAAUACAAAAAGUUAAAUUCUAAUAUUUCGUAUGAUAAUGAAAGUCUGCUAUCAUAGAAAUGUGUGUCCAUCCUGCCGUCCCGAGUCCGACGUGAGGUAGAGUGCGGUGGAUCAGCGGUCAAUAGUCCCAUUCAGCCUUGCGGCAGGAAUUCCUCGCCGGACCACUCCAGGAAUGUGACGUCAAUUGGCCGGAAUUGAUUUCUGAAUGGCCCCACAGGUCGGAAGCGGAAAUUCUCAAUCAAAAGAUCUUUUCUGGAACUUUUCUCAUCUUGACCCGUAUGGAAUGGCAAUGUUGAUUGGUUAGUUUCAUCUGACUCUUCACUGCAUAGGUACCCAUGUCUACUCAGGGUCCAUAUCUCUGUAGGAUUACAUAGCUUUCAAAUGUAACAGCUUCCUUUAAUAUAAUAACUAAUUCACCAUUCUAUACACAAGAAAUGAAAGAAUUAAAACACAAAUGUUUAUUUUACACAUUAAAACAAACUUCUAAUUACUCCACUUCGAUUAAAGAUUAUUGGGAGGGCCUGGCUCAUCAAUGGUGAACCCUCUCAGCAUUACGUCAAUUUAAUCUACCAGGUUUUUAGAACUCUAAUACUGUAUUGGAAGAUUCUGCUUAUAUAUGCUACACUGAAGGAUUGAAUCUUAGAAAUGGUAUUUAAGCAAACUAUGGACAUAAGCUUUUAGGACAGUAGAAUUACAUUUUAAUUUUUAAUCGCAGUUAGUACAGUUGAUUUAUUUGUGAAAGAAAUAUUCGCGUCUUAAUCGUUCAAAUUUAAAUGUAGUUUUUAAAAUAGAGAGAAAUAUAUAAAUAGAGCUUCAAUUGAAAAUGCAUAUAUUGUGGAUCAAAAUAUAGUUUAUUUAACAAUAAUUCUAUCCCACAAUUAAUUGAACAAUUAUACGUGUACUAGCGCGCCAUCUGUUAUCAAAAUUCGAUACUAUUUUAAAGGCGUAAGAUUCUUUUUGAUAUUAAACAAUUUCUACUGCCCUUACUGCAAUGGAAAAAAAGGGCAGUAGAAAUUGUUUAAUAUCAAAAAGAAUCUUACGCCUUUAAAAUAAUUUCGAAUUAUACAUGUAUUUUAAUGUUUAAUAUUCAGAGGAAACUGUGCACAAGAUUGUUCGGUAAAGUCGGAAUGCCCGUUAAAAAGUAAAUAAAGUUGAUGGUCUAGAGAUGCCGGGACAUUCUGAGCGAUGUCGGAAGUUUGAUGAUAGUUGGGGAUGAAGUUUUAAUGACCAGCCGAUCAUCGAUUCUGGGUCUGAUUCCAGCUCCCACGGGAGUCAUCCAUCCUCUGACAGAAAUAUUGUAAUUACCCGACCUUUGAUUGGUGCGCUUCUUUCUCUCUCUCUCUCUCUCUUACACUCUGCAAGCGGCUCACCAAACUUCGGGUGUCAACAAACAAAAGAACGCUAUGAGGUUCCGCAUAGCGUGUCUCAACGUGCGCGGCUGUCCGUGAUGGAACUGUGCUUCUUUUUAAAGCAGCACGCAAUUGACGUCGCAUUCUUAUCUCUAUUUUUAGUUUUUAUCAUUAUUUUCAUUAUUGUUAGUUUCUCAUAAUUAGUGCGGACUUUGCAGUUUUACCUGUAUUGACAAGAUGUCAAUAAAAAUGUAAAUUGUCAAAUGUCUUUCUCUCUCUUCUCGGCUUUCUGGCUAAUAUCAAAGUGUAUAGUGUUCUCUCGCCUUCUCAGGGCACAAUGUCGACAUUGAAGUACAGCUGGCCCUGCACGCUCUUCCCCAUCCUGCACAUCCGGCCUCUGCUCUAGAGACCUGCAUCACCUGUGGCUCUAGUGACCUGACGUUGGCCCACCGCUACAGGUCCUGCAGCUCCAUCAGGCCCCUCAUACGGGAGGCCUUCAACAUCAUACAGCAACCACCCAACCUGCAGGGCUGGCUCUUCGGCCAAUGGCUGGAUGACGACGCCCUCGCCAUCUCGCGUCUGCCAAGUCAUCAAUACACAGGUUCUUUCUGAGCCUUGAGAUCAGGGGAGAACGUGACUUACUGUCUGGAGGAGGACUCUCUGUCGUUGGGGGAAUCUCCUCGACUGUACAUAACUGUAUAUAUUUUAUCCCUCUUUUCCCUCUUUUUAUAAUUAUUAUAUACUACUACCAUUGACUUGUGUAUAAUGUCAAUAAAAUAUUUUUAUAUCUAAAAAAAACUCUCUCUCUCUCUGAGAGACCCCUGGAGGUGUUCACUUCCUAUGACUUGCCCCUGGAUCUGCAGACCUGGCUCUUCGGUGUCGGCCUCCAUCCCGAGACAAUGGAUUUAAUCAGUGUGGUAAAGGCUACCAUCUACAAGUACCUUAUUGGUUUUGAUGUGGGUAAAACCAGCCAUAACAUCGACCGGCCCACUCUGUGAGAAAGAACUCUCGCAGUCCAUCGGUGGCGGAGUCUUUCCAGCGGUGGGCGCCACCAAUGACGACUGUAUAUAUUCUUAUUUAUAUGUAUUCAAUUAUAUGUAUGUUCCUCUAAAGACCUAUAAGCUUAUGUCCAUAGUUCACUAAACACCCUUAAGCUGCAUUCCAUAGAAAAUACAGGUAUAUACCAAACAAAUCCAAUACAAUAGUAGAGCGGUCUAGAGAUUAAUUUGGCGAAACCGCUGAGAGGGUUCACUACUGAUGAGCCAAGCCCUCUCAUUCAAUAACUCAUAUCAUUACAGUACGGUCUGUAGAGAUAAUAUUUGAUGAUAUUUAAAAGAAGCGCAUUGCCAGUAAAUUUAUUUGUGUAAAAUAUUAACGAUAAAUGGCAAU